This 405-nucleotide ribosomal RNA is filed under the name uncultured bacterium. RNAcentral's name for it is "partial 16S ribosomal RNA". It matches the Rfam family "Bacterial small subunit ribosomal RNA", at positions 30 to 526 of the family's 1533-position model. The record is from RNAcentral.
AUUGAACGCUAGCGGGAUGCUUUACACAUGCAAGUCGAACGAGUGGCGGACGGGUGAGUAAUGUAUCGGCACGUGCCCAGUAGCGGGGGGUAACUACUCGAAAGAGUGGCUAAUACCGCCUACUAUUGGAGCGGCCUAUAUCGGAUUGGCUCGUGGGUGGGGUAAAGGCUCACAAAGGCAACGAUCCGUAGCUGGUUUGAGAGGACGACCAGCCAAACUGGAACUGAGACACGGCCCAGACCCCUACGGGAGGCAGCAGUGGGGAAUUUUGGAAAAGGGGGGAAACCCGGAUCCAGCAAGCCCGCGUGGAGGAGAAGGCCUUCGGUUUGUAAAGUACUUUUGGCAGGGAAGCGGUAUCUGCAGAAUAAGCACCGGCUAACUACGUGCCAGCAGCCGCGGUAAUUC